CAGAAUUGUGCGCAUGAAUGGUGAAGUUGGGACAUGGCGGAAAAAGCAGGAAAAACAGCGGGAGUGGAAGCAGAAGGGAAUCGGAGCAGAGAGAAAGUAUGUAAGAGAUGCAAAAAGAUUUACGAUUCAGCUUCUAACAACUCAAAUUCAUGUCAAUUUCAUCCUUCUUUCUUUGUCUGUCGCCGUCACGACGAUCAGAAAAGGUAUUACGAACUAGGACCAGAUGAUCCUCCUUAUGCUGCCAAGUUUUAUGAUUGUUGUGGAGCAGAAGAUCCUCAAGCAAGUGGUUGUACCACCAAUUUCCAUGUUUCAUAUGAUGACGAGUAGGAAGAUUCUCAUGGUUUGUUAUGUAACCUUUCUGUAAUUAGAAACUGUGUCUGUACCUAAAAGAACUUUGCCCUUUGAUCUGAAAUAGACAGUCUCCACAUGGUCUAUGUAAUUAUAUACAGAAAAAUAAUGUUCGACGCUUCUGGGGAUUAGGUAAUGCUCAGCCUUACUGAUAAUUG
Molecule: unclassified non-coding RNA, 506 nt
Filed under: Hevea brasiliensis (rubber tree)
Lineage: Eukaryota; Viridiplantae; Streptophyta; Magnoliopsida; Malpighiales; Euphorbiaceae
Source: RNAcentral